UCCGAUAUGGUGUAGUGGCCAACAUGAUGCCCUCUCAUCUCGAUGAGAGGUUAGGCAUAGCCCCGAGUUCGAUUCUCGGUUUCGGAA
Colletotrichum sublineola is the source of this 87-nucleotide transfer RNA. It matches the Rfam family "tRNA". From Rfam's summary of the family: Transfer RNA (tRNA) molecules are approximately 80 nucleotides in length. The record is from Rfam. Lineage: Eukaryota; Fungi; Ascomycota; Sordariomycetes; Glomerellales; Glomerellaceae.